This 468-nucleotide ribosomal RNA is filed under the name uncultured bacterium. RNAcentral describes it as "partial 16S ribosomal RNA". It matches the Rfam family "Bacterial small subunit ribosomal RNA", at positions 28 to 507 of the family's 1533-position model. The record is from RNAcentral.
GACGAACGCUGGCGGCGUGCUUAACACAUGCAAGUCGAACGGAAAGGCCCUAGCUUGCUGGGGUUCUCGAAGGGCGAACGGGUGAGUAACACGUGGGUGAGCUGCCCUGCACUUCGGGAUAAGGCUGGGAAACUGGGUCUAAUACCGGAUAGGACGAUGAUUUGGAUGCCAUUGUUGAAAGUUCUUGCGGUGUGGGAGGAGCUCGCGGCGUGUUGGAUCGUUGGUGGGGUAUUGGGCUACCAAGGCGACGGGGGGUAGCGGGCCUGUGAGGGUGUACGGACACAUUGGGCUGCAGAGACGGGCCGCAGUCGGGCGGGAGGCGCAAGUGGGGAAUAUUGCACAAUGGGAGCAAGCCUGAGGCAGCGACGCCGCGUGGGGGAUGAGGGCCUUCGGGUGGUAAACUCCUUUCGCUAGGGACGAGGCGUUUUUGUGACGGUACCUGGAGAAGAAGCACCGGCUAACUACGUG